UUUGCUUUUCUUAUAUUGCACACCCUUUUAAAAGUCUUUUCCAUCUCUGCACUCCAUUUUUACUUUCUAUAAUAUUAUUUAUUAUUAUAAAAGAGCUGCAACUCUGCCCAUCUCAAGCUGAGCUCAGUAAAGUAAGGAAUAAUGUGGGAAACCUCCUGGCCCCAGGAGCCACCAAAUCAGUUUUGCGUGAAUCACCACCAGAUGACCUGAUCUGCAAGCUUCUCUGUGUACAUCCUGUAGUGUGGGGUAUCUGACAAUUGGCAAGAAUCGAAGCAUUAUACACACAGCUGAUUGAAGUCACCUCCCCAUAGACUUUGAUGUGUGGGGGCCCUGAAGGGCUGGUAAACAAGAUGUUCCACUUGACACCCUGCAUGGUCUGUGCUAAAAGAACCAUGUCAUUAAGAAAGUGACUCACAAAUUGCUGUUCCUAGAUGCAGCCUUCAAGAAGAGAGCUCUGAAAGAAUGGUGGCUGCAGUAGAACACCUCCACUCCCUUCCGUCCUCAAUUUCUUGCCACAUUCUUCUGAGAAAUAUGACAAGUUGAAAUAGUAGAUGAGAGUGGAGAAGUUUCCAGAUGACUUCCACACAGGCAAUGAUCCCAUCUCAGUCCUCGCAGCAUCCCCUUUUCGGCGGACACAACAUCUUUGUUUGUAUGUGGUGCUGAGGAUCGAACCCGGGCUGCAUGCAUGCCAGAUCCAAAGCUUCCUGUCUUAUGAAGAGAACACUCCCAUGCAAGCUAUCUGAGUCUUCCAUCUCUUCAUCACUUGUAGAAUUUCUUUUGUUUCUGCUGGGUGCCCUGUCUCAUGUUCAGAUUCUCUCUGAUAGGAUUUUGGCAUUUUAUUUUCAUAUGCUUCAAAAUCCAGUGAAUUGGGAGAGGACUGUUUGGUUAUUCGAUUAUCAACAAAGAUGACAAGAAAUAAUGGAGCCAUUCCAUAGCUUGUUCUUACCCUCCUCCUGUCUGAUCGGAUUUCCAGAGGCCAUUCUUGAUACAUUUGGUUUUUACACAUGAAAUCAGCAAUAGUUCCAAACUGUCAUGUGCUAUAUAUUUCUUUCAGUCUGAAGCCCUUUCUUGGAUCUUGAAAGCUAAGUACCAGAAAGUAUCUAUGGAAUAAUUGUAUCAUAUCAGAACUCAAAGUUCCCAUUCUGUCUUCCUGUCCCCAUGGAGAUGUUUGCACAUAGAUUGGACACUUCCACCUGCAUAAACAAAAUUAUAGUACUGGUAUAUUUUGAUAGCCCUCAAAUACCUUUUCUUCUUCCUGAAACUCCUUGUGCUGAGGUAUAGGCUGUAUUUCCUGUAUUUUAGUAAUUUUAAGAAACAAUAUUCAUAUCAAUAUUUGUAUUUAAAUCUACUCU
Marmota monax (woodchuck) is the source of this 1352-nucleotide long non-coding RNA. RefSeq lists it as uncharacterized. The transcript is spliced from 5 exons. NCBI's taxonomy places the organism in Eukaryota, Metazoa, Chordata, Mammalia, Rodentia, Sciuridae. The record is from RefSeq and is a predicted model, not a curated record.